RNAcentral lists this ribosomal RNA (923 nucleotides) under uncultured bacterium. RNAcentral's name for it is "bacterial SSU rRNA". It matches the Rfam family "Bacterial small subunit ribosomal RNA", at positions 12 to 929 of the family's 1533-position model. The record is from RNAcentral.
UUUGAUCCUGGCUCAGAACGAACGCUGGCGGCACGCCUAAUACAUGCAAGUCGCACGAGAAAGUCCUUCGGGAUGAGUAGAGUGGCGCACGGGUGAGUAAUACAUGGGAACGUACCCUUUUGUCGGGAGUAACCACGGGAAACUGUGGCUAAUACCGGAUGUGAUCGAGAGAUUAAAGGAGGCCUCUAUUUAUAAGCUUUCGCAAGAGGAUCGGCCCAUGUCCCAUUAGCUAGUUGGUAGGGUAAUGGCCUACCAAGGCGACGAUGGGUAACUGGUCUGAGAGGAUGAUCAGUCACACUGGAACUGAGACACGGUCCAGACUCCUACGGGAGGCAGCAGUAGGGAAUAUUGCGCAAUGGGGGAAACCCUGACGCAGCGAUGCCGCGUGAGUGAAGAAGGCCUUUGGGUCGUAAAGCUCUUUCGAACGGGAAGAAGGGUCCAGUAGCUAAUAAUUGCUGGAUUUGACGGUACCGUAUGAAGAAGCACCUGCUAACUACGUGCCAGCAGCAGCGGUAAUACGUAGGGUGCAAGCGUUGUUCGGAAUUACUGGGCGUAAAGCGCGCGUAGGCGGGCUUGUAUGUCAAUUGUGAAAUCCCCGGGCUCAACCUGGGAAUGGCAGUUGAAACUGCAAGUCUUGAGUACCCGAGAGGAUGGGAGAAUAGCUGGUGUAGUAGUGAAAUACGUAGAUAUCAGCUGGAAUACCUGAGGCGAAGGCGCCUAUCUGGUGGUGCACUGACACUGAGGAGCGAAAGCGUGGGGAGCGAACAGGAUUAGAUACCCUGGUAGUCCACGCCGUAAACGGUGGGCACUAGUUGUGGGAACCUUCCACGGUUUCUGCGACGCAGCUAACGCAUUAAGUGCCCCGCCUGGGGAGUACGAUCGCAAGAUUAAAACUCAAAGGAAUUGACGGGGCCCCGCACAAG